GCGGCCGAUGUUUUGUCUCUUUCUAAGCAUUUGAUUGGUCGUUGAUCAAUUGCUCGGUCAUGUCAAAUAAACUCCAUCCGAUUAACAAAAAUAAUAUCAUCUAAAUAAAUGUACAAUAAAUAUGCACCUGGUUUACGGUUAACAGCGUUAGAAACCUUUUCUUGAUGCAAAGGAUGGGAGCCAGAAUCAAAGAAGUUAAUCAAAGGAUGGAGAUAUAUAUUUAUUCCUAUAUGUACCGUAUGUAAUUUAUGUACAUACCUAUGUUUACUACUUAACUCGUGUAUCUUCAGUCAACGCUCAUAUCUUCGUUCCCAAAGAAAAUACAGCUGACAUAUAAAAAUAAGCUCUUAACUGACGUUAGAUUUCCGUGUUUUUUUUAAAUACAGUGUAUUUGCAGAGGAAAACCCAGACCUUUCUACACAAAAAUACUACUUUAGCCGGUUUUGAAUGAGCUUCGUUUUUUUAUUCUUGAUCGUUUGUCGCGGAAGACGUGCUCAUUUGGUAUGGAAAUAUUGUGUUUUAUUGUAACGACUUGUAUCAACUGCAAAAGGUGAAUUUGGGGAGAAAAAUGCUGGAAUUACCAUACUCUAAAUUGCCAAAGGUAUGUGCACCUUGUUGACUUUAAUUAAGAAACGAAAU
Molecule: long non-coding RNA, 639 nt
Filed under: Neodiprion lecontei (redheaded pine sawfly)
Lineage: Eukaryota; Metazoa; Arthropoda; Insecta; Hymenoptera; Diprionidae
Description: uncharacterized LOC124294658, transcript variant X1
Source: RNAcentral